RNAcentral lists this ribosomal RNA (408 nucleotides) under uncultured bacterium. Its description in RNAcentral is "partial 16S ribosomal RNA". It matches the Rfam family "Bacterial small subunit ribosomal RNA", at positions 356 to 756 of the family's 1533-position model. The record is from RNAcentral.
GGGGAAUAUUGGACAAUGGGCGAAAGCCUGAUCCAGCCAUGCCGCGUGUGUGAAGAAGGUCUUCGGAUUGUAAAGCACUUUAAGUUGGGAGGAAGGGCAGUAAAUUAAUACUUUGCUGUUUUGACGUUACCGACAGAAUAAGCACCGGCUAACUCUGUGCCAGCAGCCGCGGUAAUACAGAGGGUGCAAGCGUUAAUCGGAAUUACUGGGCGUAAAGCGCGCGUAGGUGGUUCGUUAAGUUGGAUGUGAAAUCCCCGGGCUCAACCUGGGAACUGCAUUCAAAACUGACGAGCUAGAGUAUGGUAGAGGGUGGUGGAAUUUCCUGUGUAGCGGUGAAAUGCGUAGAUAUAGGAAGGAACACCAGUGGCGAAGGCGACCACCUGGACUGAUACUGACACUGAGGUGCGA